This 1295-nucleotide small RNA is filed under the name Pan troglodytes (chimpanzee). Its description in RNAcentral is "sense overlapping". Lineage: Eukaryota; Metazoa; Chordata; Mammalia; Primates; Hominidae. The record is from RNAcentral.
CUUACAAUUAGCUCUCUUAUCAGCUUGAUUGGAGAGGAGAAGGCUGCCAGUGGCCACAGGGGUGCAGCCUGUCCCCUGCAUGGUCCCCACGAUGCAUCAAGAGCUGGGAGCAUCUAGGGGCAAAAUAAGAAAUGAGGCCAGGACUGAGCUCUUCAUUUGCCAGUUUUGACCUGCAAAGCCUGGGGCUGCUUCCCCCUAGCACAGGGGACGGACAGCCCGAAGGACUGUGGGGACAUGCAUCAUGUCAGGUUUCCUUGGGUCCAGGGAGCAGCUUGGCUGACUGGCAGAUGAGGUCAUGGCCACCCCGCUGCUGGCUAACUGCAGCUACUUCUGCCAGCCAGUGGACUACAGAUGGAGCAAGCAUGGAAUGAGGGCAUCUUCCUGGAGACAGGAAGGUAGGCAUUGUGGAAUCAGCGGUGCGUAGAACAGUGAGGAUUUGGGGCUGAACCCAGCCCAGGUGGGACAAGCCGUGGCACCAGCCGGACUGCAGUCUGAUGGAACUUCCCCUUCCUGCCCAGCAGAUGGCGAGCGUGUGCUGCUGGUGCCUCUUUCCAAAGGACGUUGAAUUGCUUGACAGCCCUGCCCAGCAUCUAGAAGACCACAUGAAGCUUUCACACUUUGAGACCUUAGAUCCUACGAGGGUUUGAAUUUCAAAAGCUUCAAUUAAAGCGCACAGUGUUCCAGGUGUUCUUUACUUUAUGAAUGAAGCCGGAGCAGCCCACCUUCCUGCAUCUCUACCACCAUGGCACCAUGCCCUGUGAUGGGUGGGCUGGAGUCAAAUACGUAGCAGGCAACCAGGGUCAGUUUGUGGCCACUGCUGCCCCCUCUUCCUACAGUCUCCUCACUGAGUGCCCCUUCCCUGUUGGGUUCAACACAUCUGUGCUCCUGUAAGCCCUCAGCCUCCUGGUUCUCUUCCUCAACUUCUACCACCAGACACAUCUGAGAAGCAAGCAAGAGAGGCUGAACUAGGAGCAGGACCCAGGGACUGAAACCAUCACAGCAUCCCCACAGAGAAUUGGGUGGAAGGCAGCGUGGCUUCCAGCUUACUGGUGCUGAGCAGAUUUCUCUGGGUCUCCAUUGUAUCCUCUGAAGGAAGGAGGAGGAUUGCCUUCUGUCCAGAUCUCAGGAUCAAACAAAUAGGUCCAACUUCCUGUGCUCACUUCAGUUAGAGCACUUCUCAUGUGACUUUGUAGCUUUGUGUGCAUCUCCUUCCUCUACUAGACCUAAGCCCCUCACGGGAGGGACUCUCUUAUUCUUGAUGUUCCCCACACCUGGAAUUUCAAUAAACAUCUCAA